RNAcentral lists this small nuclear RNA (317 nucleotides) under Meriones unguiculatus (Mongolian gerbil). Its description in RNAcentral is "7SK RNA (ENSMUGG00000026274.1)". It matches the Rfam family "7SK RNA". From Rfam's summary of the family: 7SK was discovered as an abundant small nuclear RNA in the mid-70s but a possible function has only recently been suggested. Two independent studies have found that 7SK RNA binds the CDK9/cyclin T complex (known as elongation factor P-TEFb). Lineage: Eukaryota; Metazoa; Chordata; Mammalia; Rodentia; Muridae. The record is from RNAcentral.
AGAAAGGGCGAUGUGGCUGUGAUCUCUGUCACCCCUUUGACAACCAGGGUUGAUUUGGCUGAUCUGUCUGGCUAGGUGGGUGUCCCCUUCUUUUCUCACCCGCUCCAUGUGUGUCCCUCCCCAAGCUGCAUCCUUGGUUGAAGAGGACAACUUUCCCCAAAUAGAGGAGAACUGGUCUUCUGUCAAGGGUAUACGAGUAUCUGCGCUCCCCUGCUAGAACCUCCAAACAAGCUCAAGAAAUAGUUUUUAAAUAUAGGGGUUCAAAAAAAAAGAACAAAUAACGUUUAUUCAGUGUCAACUCUAUUUUACAUUGUACU